This 328-nucleotide ribosomal RNA is filed under the name Staphylococcus aureus. RNAcentral describes it as "partial 23S ribosomal RNA". It matches the Rfam family "Bacterial large subunit ribosomal RNA", at positions 2595 to 2925 of the family's 2925-position model. The record is from RNAcentral. Lineage: Bacteria; Bacillati; Bacillota; Bacilli; Caryophanales; Staphylococcaceae.
GGUACGCGAGCUGGGUUCAGAACGUCGUGAGACAGUUCGGUCCCUAUCCGUCGUGGGCGUAGGAAAUUUGAGAGGAGCUGUCCUUAGUACGAGAGGACCGGGAUGGACAUACCUCUGGUGUACCAGUUGUCGUGCCAACGGCAUAGCUGGGUAGCUAUGUGUGGACGGGAUAAGUGCUGAAAGCAUCUAAGCAUGAAGCCCCCCUCAAGAUGAGAUUUCCCAACUUCGGUUAUAAGAUCCCUUAAAGAUGAUGAGGUUAAUAGGUUCGAGGUGGAAGCAUGGUGACAUGUGGAGCUGACGAAUACUAAUCGAUCGAAGACUUAAUCAA